RNAcentral lists this ribosomal RNA (497 nucleotides) under uncultured bacterium. RNAcentral's name for it is "partial 16S ribosomal RNA". It matches the Rfam family "Bacterial small subunit ribosomal RNA", at positions 28 to 507 of the family's 1533-position model. The record is from RNAcentral.
GAUGAACGCUGGCGGCGUGCCUAAUACAUGCAAGUCGAGCGAACGGGCGAGAAGCUUGCUUCUCUGAUGUUAGCGGCGGACGGGUGAGUAACACGUGGAUAACCUACCUAUAAGACUGGGAUAACUUCGGGAAACCGGAGCUAAUACCGGAUAAUAUUUUGAACCGCAUGGUUCAAAAGUGAAAGACGGUCUUGCUGUCACUUAUAGAUGGAUCCGCGCUGCAUUAGCUAGUUGGUAAGGUAACGGCUUACCAAGGCAACGAUGCAUAGCCGACCUGAGAGGGUGAUCGGCCACACUGGAACUGAGACACGGUCCAGACUCCUACGGGAGGCAGCAGUAGGGAAUCUUCCGCAAUGGGCGAAAGCCUGACGGAGCAACGCCGCGUGAGUGAUGAAGGUCUUCGGACCGUAAAACUCUGUUAUUAGGGAAGAACAUAUGUGUAAGUAACUGUGCACAUCUUGACGGUACCUAAUCAGAAAGCCACGGCUAACUACGUG